Molecule: non-coding RNA, 333 nt
Organism: Notechis scutatus (mainland tiger snake)
Lineage: Eukaryota; Metazoa; Chordata; Lepidosauria; Squamata; Elapidae
Source: RefSeq, a predicted model, not a curated record
UACAUCAUUUGUUAGACCAAAUGAAAUUUUCAUUGUGUUGUGUUUAAUAAAUUUAUAUAUGUUUUUUUAUAGAAAUAAAGGACCACAAAUUGCUUAUGAACGCAGCUUUAGGUGGAAACUAGCUCAUUUCCGCUACUUGUGUCAGUCAAAUGCUCUACCAAGCCAUGUGAAGAUCAAUGUAUCCAGACAAACUUUGUUUGAAGAUUCCUUCCAACAGAUCAUGGCUUUAAAGCCUUAUGACUUAAGGAGAAGAUUGUAUGUCAUAUUCAGAGGAGAGGAAGGGUUGGAUUAUGGAGGUUUAGCCAGGUAACAGUACUUCUUGAAAUCUCAUUA